RNAcentral lists this ribosomal RNA (2904 nucleotides) under Escherichia coli. Its description in RNAcentral is "23S ribosomal RNA". It matches the Rfam family "Bacterial large subunit ribosomal RNA". The record is from RNAcentral. Lineage: Bacteria; Pseudomonadati; Pseudomonadota; Gammaproteobacteria; Enterobacterales; Enterobacteriaceae.
GGUUAAGCGACUAAGCGUACACGGUGGAUGCCCUGGCAGUCAGAGGCGAUGAAGGACGUGCUAAUCUGCGAUAAGCGUCGGUAAGGUGAUAUGAACCGUUAUAACCGGCGAUUUCCGAAUGGGGAAACCCAGUGUGAUUCGUCACACUAUCAUUAACUGAAUCCAUAGGUUAAUGAGGCGAACCGGGGGAACUGAAACAUCUAAGUACCCCGAGGAAAAGAAAUCAACCGAGAUUCCCCCAGUAGCGGCGAGCGAACGGGGAGCAGCCCAGAGCCUGAAUCAGUGUGUGUGUUAGUGGAAGCGUCUGGAAAGGCGCGCGAUACAGGGUGACAGCCCCGUACACAAAAAUGCACAUACUGUGAGCUCGAUGAGUAGGGCGGGACACGUGGUAUCCUGUCUGAAUAUGGGGGGACCAUCCUCCAAGGCUAAAUACUCCUGACUGACCGAUAGUGAACCAGUACCGUGAGGGAAAGGCGAAAAGAACCCCGGCGAGGGGAGUGAAAAAGAACCUGAAACCGUGUACGUACAAGCAGUGGGAGCCUCUUAAUGGGGUGACUGCGUACCUUUUGUAUAAUGGGUCAGCGACUUAUAUUCUGUAGCAAGGUUAACCGAAUAGGGGAGCCGAAGGGAAACCGAGUCUUAACUGGGCGUUAAGUUGCAGGGUAUAGACCCGAAACCCGGUGAUCUAGCCAUGGGCAGGUUGAAGGUUGGGUAACACUAACUGGAGGACCGAACCGACUAAUGUUGAAAAAUUAGCGGAUGACUUGUGGCUGGGGGUGAAAGGCCAAUCAAACCGGGAGAUAGCUGGUUCUCCCCGAAAGCUAUUUAGGUAGCGCCUCGUGAAUUCAUCUCCGGGGGUAGAGCACUGUUUCGGCAAGGGGGUCAUCCCGACUUACCAACCCGAUGCAAACUGCGAAUACCGGAGAAUGUUAUCACGGGAGACACACGGCGGGUGCUAACGUCCGUCGUGAAGAGGGAAACAACCCAGACCGCCAGCUAAGGUCCCAAAGUCAUGGUUAAGUGGGAAACGAUGUGGGAAGGCCCAGACAGCCAGGAUGUUGGCUUAGAAGCAGCCAUCAUUUAAAGAAAGCGUAAUAGCUCACUGGUCGAGUCGGCCUGCGCGGAAGAUGUAACGGGGCUAAACCAUGCACCGAAGCUGCGGCAGCGACACUAUGUGUUGUUGGGUAGGGGAGCGUUCUGUAAGCCUGUGAAGGUGUACUGUGAGGUAUGCUGGAGGUAUCAGAAGUGCGAAUGCUGACAUAAGUAACGAUAAAGCGGGUGAAAAGCCCGCUCGCCGGAAGACCAAGGGUUCCUGUCCAACGUUAAUCGGGGCAGGGUGAGUCGACCCCUAAGGCGAGGCCGAAAGGCGUAGUCGAUGGGAAACAGGUUAAUAUUCCUGUACUUGGUGUUACUGCGAAGGGGGGACGGAGAAGGCUAUGUUGGCCGGGCGACGGUUGUCCCGGUUUAAGCGUGUAGGCUGGUUUUCCAGGCAAAUCCGGAAAACUAAGGCUGAGGCGUGAUGACGAGGCACUACGGUGCUGAAGCAACAAAUGCCCUGCUUCCAGGAAAAGCCUCUAAGCAUCAGGUAACAUCAAAUCGUACCCCAAACCGACACAGGUGGUCAGGUAGAGAAUACCAAGGCGCUUGAGAGAACUCGGGUGAAGGAACUAGGCAAAAUGGUGCCGUAACUUCGGGAGAAGGCACGCUGAUAUGUAGGUGAAGUCCCUCGCGGAUGGAGCUGAAAUCAGUCGAAGAUACCAGCUGGCUGCAACUGUUUAUUAAAAACACAGCACUGUGCAAACACGAAAGUGGACGUAUACGGUGUGACGCCUGCCCGGUGCCGGAAGGUUAAUUGAUGGGGUUAGCGGUAACGCGAAGCUCUUGAUCGAAGCCCCGGUAAACGGCGGCCGUAACUAUAACGGUCCUAAGGUAGCGAAAUUCCUUGUCGGGUAAGUUCCGACCUGCACGAAUGGCGUAAUGAUGGCCAGGCUGUCUCCACCCGAGACUCAGUGAAAUUGAACUCGCUGUGAAGAUGCAGUGUACCCGCGGCAAGACGGAAAGACCCCGUGAACCUUUACUAUAGCUUGACACUGAACAUUGAGCCUUGAUGUGUAGGAUAGGUGGGAGGCUUUGAAGUGUGGACGCCAGUCUGCAUGGAGCCGGCCUUGAAAUACCACCCUUUAAUGUUUGAUGUUCUAACGUUGGCCCCUGAUCGGGGUUGCGGACAGUGUCUGGUGGGUAGUUUGACUGGGGCGGUCUCCUCCUAAAGAGUAACGGAGGAGCACGAAGGUUGGCUAAUCCUGGUCGGACAUCAGGAGGUUAGUGCAAUGGCAUAAGCCAGCUUGACUGCGAGCGUGACGGCGCGAGCAGGUGCGAAAGCAGGUCAUAGUGAUCCGGUGGUUCUGAAUGGAAGGGCCAUCGCUCAACGGAUAAAAGGUACUCCGGGGAUAACAGGCUGAUACCGCCCAAGAGUUCAUAUCGACGGCGGUGUUUGGCACCUCGAUGUCGGCUCAUCACAUCCUGGGGCUGAAGUAGGUCCCAAGGGUAUGGCUGUUCGCCAUUUAAAGUGGUACGCGAGCUGGGUUUAGAACGUCGUGAGACAGUUCGGUCCCUAUCUGCCGUGGGCGCUGGAGAACUGAGGGGGGCUGCUCCUAGUACGAGAGGACCGGAGUGGACGCAUCACUGGUGUUCGGGUUGUCAUGCCAAUGGCACUGCCCGGUAGCUAAAUGCGGAAGAGAUAAGUGCUGAAAGCAUCUAAGCACGAAACUUGCCCCGAGAUGAGUUCUCCCUGACUCCUUGAGAGUCCUGAAGGAACGUUGAAGACGACGACGUUGAUAGGCCGGGUGUGUAAGCGCAGCGAUGCGUUGAGCUAACCGGUACUAAUGAACCGUGAGGCUUAACCUU